GAUGAACGCUGGCGGCGUGCCUAAUACAUGCAAGUCGAGCGAACGGACGAGAAGCUUGCUUCUCUGAUGUUAGCGGCGGACGGGUGAGUAACACGUGGAUAACCUACCUAUAAGACUGGGAUAACUUCGGGAAACCGGAGCUAAUACCGGAUAAUAUUUUGAACCGCAUGGUUCAAAAGUGAAAGACGGUCUUGCUGUCACUUAUAGAUGGAUCCGCGCUGCAUUAGCUAGUUGGUAAGGUAACGGCUUACCAAGGCAACGAUGCAUAGCCGACCUGAGAGGGUGAUCGGCCACACUGGAGCGGAGACACGGUCCAGACUCCUACGGGAGGCAGCAGUAGGGAAUCUUCCGCAAUGGGCGAAAGCCUGACGGAGCAACGCCGCGUGAGUGAUGAAGGUCUUCGGAUCGUAAAACUCUGUUAUUAGGGAAGAACAUAUGUGUAAGUAACUGUGCACAUCUUGACGGUACCUAAUCAGAAAGCCACGGCUAACUACGU
Molecule: ribosomal RNA, 496 nt
Filed under: uncultured bacterium
Lineage: Bacteria
Description: partial 16S ribosomal RNA
Rfam family: Bacterial small subunit ribosomal RNA
Source: RNAcentral